CGAGUGCCCCAAGCGUUAUCCGGAAUCACUGGGCGUAAAGGGUGUGUAGGCGGUUUGGUUAGUCUCCUGUUAAAUUUCCCGGCUUUAACCGGGAACCUGCAGGGGAAACGGCCAAACUAGAGGAUGCGAGGGGUGUGUGGAACUCAUGGAGUAGGGGUGAAAUCCGUUGAUAUCAUGGGGAACACCGAAAGCGAAGGCAGCACACUGGCGCAUUCCUGACGCUGAAACACGAAAGCGUAGGUAGCGAAUAGGAUUAGAUACCCUAGUAGUCUACGCCCUAAACGAUCCUAACUAGUUUUUCGGAGUAUCGACCCUCUGAGAGACGAAGCUAACGCGUUAAGUUAGGCGCCUGGGUAGUACGGCCGCAAGGCUA
RNAcentral lists this ribosomal RNA (373 nucleotides) under uncultured organism. RNAcentral's name for it is "bacterial SSU rRNA". It matches the Rfam family "Bacterial small subunit ribosomal RNA", at positions 526 to 896 of the family's 1533-position model. The record is from RNAcentral.